GGCACUGUAUUAUUACAAAUUCGGCACUAUGGAAAAUGGUUUAAUUUUAAGAAAAUAAAAUAAAAAAUUAUACCAGGGGUACGCAAUUACGCCUGGGGGAAUUUGCAGCGGCAAAAAAUAUCCCACUUGCGGGUGUGUUGUAAAUUGAGUAUGUGAGUAUAGUAACAACAGUUUCGGCCGUUCAGCUCUUCUGCCGGCGCUCUCUGGUUCUGACAGGUAAUAAAAUAAAUAAAUCGGACAACAUGGCAUGCAGACAACAGUGCAAUUAUUGCGCAAUUUCCGAUUUAAAAUCCAACUUCUCACAUUUAACCGUGAAACACCCAGUUCACUUUACUAGUUUUAAAAUGGAAGAGAAGAAAUAAAUGGAAGAAAAGUGGAUCUGUACAAGUUGCACACUGUUGAAUGACGCCACGGUCGAGAAAUGCGUCGCUUGCGAGACUGAAAAGGGGCAAAAGGGCAAUGAGUCAUCUACAUCGAUUUUGCCGAACAACAUUACAAAUAUUUGAAUGAUGAUGUGGAUGAUGAUGCCGAUGAUGAAGGAGAUGAAGGUGAUGAAGGUGAAUGAAUAUUUUAUAUUUACAAAUAUUUACAUUAAGAGAUAUCACAUAUUUACAUUUACAUGUUUAAAAAUUUUGUCUACAGUGGAGGAUUCAGACAAAGAGGAGACAGAGGAAGCUGCAAAGGAAGGAAAAGGAGAUAAAGCUGAAGAAGGAGAAGGAGAAAGCAAAGCCAAAGAAGAAGAAGCGGGAACACCAGAGAGUGGAGCAGUUGCUGUUGCUGGUCCUACCAACUACCAAAAAAGAAAACUGCGAGACCAGCAAAAGAAGAGUAGGGCCAAAAAGGUGAACAAAGGAGCAAUCGACAGUCUUGCUGAUCAACUCGCUGCUUGCAACUCAGAUGAUGAGAAAUAGGCCCUUCUCGUAAUAGCAGCGAAUUCAACGUCGGUCCUUCAACGUCUUCAUGACAAAAUGGUUGUUUCUAAUUCGGCCAAUGAAACACAAUAAACUUUUUUUCUUUUUCUUUCAAACUUCUAUUUUCCCAACUCGGCAACGUUGUCAGAAGGUGUUGUUGCGGAUGGUUUGUUUGGUGGAAUGGUUGAGUAUCCGGAAAGCAUGAGUAGGGAAUUUAACCACCAUUCAAAACAAUUCACAAGCGUUGAAGUGUCCACAUUAUUUAAGCAUUCACCUGCUCGAGCUUUUUAACAAAUUACAAGAAGCAUCAUUAAUGCAUUAGGCCCACGAAGAGACUUGUGGCUUAAACCAGCGCCUCGGACCGCUCGGCCACGCUACCACUUGUGGAUGGUAGUUACCUAUUUUCACCAAUCCCACUGUAUUCCUUUUUUGUACUCCACAAAAUUAACUCCAGGUAAGAAACUCGACGUCAUGUUUUUAUCGACCCGUAACUUGUUGAUGUAGUUAUUGAUUACGAU
Molecule: long non-coding RNA, 1429 nt
Organism: Daphnia pulicaria
Lineage: Eukaryota; Metazoa; Arthropoda; Branchiopoda; Diplostraca; Daphniidae
Exons: 4
Source: RefSeq, a predicted model, not a curated record